This 301-nucleotide ribosomal RNA is filed under the name uncultured bacterium. RNAcentral describes it as "bacterial SSU rRNA". It matches the Rfam family "Bacterial small subunit ribosomal RNA", at positions 37 to 339 of the family's 1533-position model. The record is from RNAcentral.
UGGCGGCGUGCCUAACACAUGCAAGUCGAACGGUUAAGGCGGCUUCGGCCGCGGAUAAAGUGGCGAACGGGUGAGUAACGCGUGAGCGACAUGCCCGUUGCCCGGGGACAACCGGUGGAAACGCCGACUAAUCCCCGAUGGGACGGAGGCCCUCAUGGGUCUCUGUUGAAAGUUACGGCGGCGACGGAUUGGCUCGCGUCCGAUUAGCUAGUUGGCGGGGUAACGGCCCACCAAGGCUACGAUCGGUAGGGGUUCUGAGAGGAAGGUCCCCACAAUGGAACUGAGACACGGUCCAUACUCC